CUCUCAAAGUGCCCAAAUAAGGGGUCAUCAUGCCUGGCCCAUUAUUUCCACGUUUAAGGAUCUAUCCAAAGGCUAGGCACAGUGGCUGAUGCUGGUGAUCCCAACACUUUGGGAGACUGAGGUGGGUAGAUCUCUUGAACUCAGGAGUUUAAGACCAGCCUGGGCAACAUGGGGAAACCCCAUCUUUACUAAAAAAAAAUUACUGAAAAUUAGCUGGACAUGGUGGUAUGCACCUGAAGUCCCAGCUACCUGGGAGGCUGAGGUGGGAGAAUCACCUGAGCUUGGGAAGUCAAGGCUGUAGUGAGCCAUGAUCACAUCACUGUACUCCAGCCUGGGCAACAAGUGAGACACUGUCCCAAAAAGAUAAAAAAAUAAUCUCUCCAAGGGAAAUAAAUAAUCAGAUGUAAAUAUGUACAAAAAUGUUCACCAGAGUGUUAUAUAAUUACAAAAAUUAGGAAAACCUAAAUAGUUGACAACAAAGGAUUUGUUGAGUACUCUGUGCUCUAUGAUGUUUCUGUGUAGAAAUACUAUACAUCUAUAAAAAAUGAUACCUGCCCAGUGCUGCCUGCCCGGCACUGCCCAUCCAAUGCCUGUCCCCAGACUGAGGCCCAGCCCCCUUGCUCUUGUCCAUCAAAGGCACCACCAGCAUGUCUGACAAACUGCCCUACAAAGUUGGUGACAUCAGCCUGGACACCUGGGAACACAAGACCCUGGAUAUUGCAGGGAAUGAGUUGCCGGGCCUGGUGGCCAUUCGGGAGCUGUACUUGCCCUCCAGGCCACUGAAGAGCACCCGCGUUGCUGGCUGCCUGCAAAUGAGUGUGGAGACGGCCAUCCUCAUUGAGACUCUCAUCUCCCUGGGUGUUUGGGAGCAGUGGUCUAGUUGCAACAUCUUCUCCACCCAGGACCAUGCAGCAGCUGCCUUUGCCAAGGCUGGCAUGCCAGUGUUCACCCGGAAGGGCAAAAUGAAUGAGGAGUACCCUGGUGCAUUGAACAGACACUGUACUUGAAGGAUGGGCCCUUCAACGUGAUUCUGGAUGAUGGGGGUGACCUUACUAACCUCAUCCACACCAAGUACCCACAGCUCAUGUCGAGCAUCUGAGGCAUCUCUUAGGAUAUCACAACCACGGUCCACAACCUGUACAAGAUGAUGGCCAAUGGAAUCCUGAAGGUGCCUGCCAUCAACAUCAAUGACUCCGUCACCAAGAGCAAAAUUUCACAACCUCUGUGGCUGCCAGGAGUCCCUCACAGAUGAAUGACAUCAAGUGGGCCAAGACAUAAUGAUUGCCAGCCAGGUAGCAGUGGUAGCAGGCUAAGGCAAUGUGGGUGGGGGCUGUGCCCACGCCCUGUGGGGUUUUGGGGCCCACGUCAUCAUCACCGAGACUGACCCUGUCAGUGUACUGCAGCUCCCAUGGAAGGCUAUGAGGUGACCACCACGGAUGAGGCCUGUCAAGAGGGCAACAUCUUUGUCACCACCACAGCCUGUGUCGACAUCAUCCUUGGCCAGCACUUGCAGCAAAUGAAAGAUGAUGUCAUCGUGUGUAACACUGGAUGCUUUGACGUGGAGAUCAGUGUCAGGUAGCUCAACAAGAAUGUUGCGGAGACGGUGAACAUCAAGCCCCAGGUCGACCAGUACUGGCUGAAGAAUGGGCGUCAUAUCAUCCUGCUGGCUGAGGGUUGGCUGGUCAGCCUGGGUUAUGUCAUGGGCUGCCCCAGCUUCAUGGUGAGUAACACCUUCAUCACCCAGGUGAUGGUGCAGAUUGAGCUGUGAAGCCACUCAGACAAGUACCCCAUCGGGGUUCACUUCCUGCCCAAGAAGCUGGAUGACACAGUGGCUGAAGCUCCCCUGGGCAAGCUGAAUGUGAAAUUGACCAAGCUGACUGAGAAGCAAGCCCGAUAGCUGGGCAUGUCCCGUGAUGGCCCCUUCAAGCCAGAUCACUACUGCUGCUGAGAGCCAGGCCUGCCCUUCACCUUUCCAGCUGCUGUCUUUGUUCAGGCCCUGCCUCUCCUCCCUAAAAGCGAAUGGCACCAAUUUUGCGAUUGGUUUGUCGGUGUCCCCCAUCGACUUCCUGGGGCUGGUCACUCAGUUUUUGGCCUCUACAGCAUCCCUCACACUGUGUCAAGUGUGGCAGGGGGAAUUGAGAGGCCCCUCCUCAAACCCUGGUCAUGAUGGAAAUACAAGGGAGGCAUCCACGGGAAACCAUGAGCUGAGUGGUCUUGGAACUGCUCACUAAGUCAGUCCUUCCUAAGUUUGGAAGUUGGUAGUGGAGUCACAAAGCCCAUGUACCUUACCUUUCAGGUAAGGUUCCUGAUCUGUGGACUUAGAUUUGUGUGCUUGUUUUACAGGGUCAGUGGUUCUUCAGCCCAUGACAGAUGAGAAGGAGCUAUAUUGAAGGGCAAAGAGGAACUGUUGUUUGAAUUUUCCUGAGAGCCUGGCUUAGGGCUGGGCCUUCUCUUAAACCUCACAACAAUGAGGUUGGUACUUUUAGUCCCUGUUUACAGGGGUUACAAUAGACUGUUAAGGGAUAACUGAGAAAGGACAGAGAAUUGACAGCCAGAGGGGCCAUAAAAACAUAAAAGCAGGCAUAGAUCAGCUACCACUUUGUAACAAGACAGUUCCUAUCACAACCCUGGGUCAAAAGGAGAAUGAUUUGGUUUAUAAUGUUAAAAGAAAGUGGGAAGGUGGGUAAAUAAAAAUCUUGGUGCCUAAAAAAAUAACGAUGAUACUCAUAUCCAGGCACAGUGGCUCAUGCCUGUAAUCCCAACACUUUGGGAGGUCCACCUGGGCAGAUUGCUUGAGCUCAGGAGUUCGAGACCAGCCUGGGCAAAAUGGCGAAACUCCAUCUCUACCAGAAAUACAAAAAAUUCGCCUAGCGUGGUGGUUGCACCUGUAGUUCCAGCUACUCUAAGAGGCUGAGGUGGGAAGAUCACUUAAACCCGGGAAGUGGAGGUUGCAGUGUGUGGAGAUGGUGCCACUGCACUCCAGCCUGGGUGACCCUGUCUCAAAAAAAAAAAAAAAGAUACUUAUGAAGGAAAUUCUUACAAGAUAAAAUUGUGGAAGAAAUUGUUAAUAUAACUAUUUAUACCAUGACCCCGAAUUAUGUAAAUGAUAAAAGACCAAAAGGAAACACACCAAAAUGUUAACAUUCUUUGUUUCUGAGUGACUGCAUUAUGGAUAUUUAACUUUUUCUCCUUCAUAGUUUUCUACAUUUUCCAAUUUUCUUCAUAGUGAGCACUUAUUACUCUCAAAACCAUUAACAAUCAACAAUAGAAUUCAUUUGAAUCUGGGGACAUGUCUGCCAACCACAUCCCUGACCUGCCCUCACGGUCUCGAGAUGAUGAGAGGAAGAAAGACUCAAGCUGUAAACCCACAUUAAAUGCAAGGCACCAUCCCCACACAAUGAAGCUAAAUGUUGAAAUCCUGCUUCAAAAGCCCUCUGAUGCUAAAAUAAGCCCAGAAAAGCAUUUGCUGCAGUUCUUGGAGAUCUAUUGAAGGACGUCAUUCACAGUGGGCACCAAGUCAAACCCUCGCUCGUCAUCAGUGCUGGCUGCAAUACAAAGAAUUUGAACCAUUUAGGGGAGGAAUAGGGUUGGAGCUUCACAAACAACUAUCCCUUAGGUUGCUAUAAUUGUAAUAAAGGGGAUUACUGACAGGUGCACAGCACAGUGCUUUCCUAGGCGUCAUCUCAUUUGAACUUGGCAACAACCCUGGAGGAAAGAUGCUGGUAGUAACAACAAAAAUAACAACAACGAUGGAGACUUAACAUUUACUAAUUAUGUACUUAUUAUGUGCCAGGAAUCAAUUCUAAACACGUCACAUACAUUAUACCUUUUAACUAAAAAUCAAAAAGAAAAC
Molecule: non-coding RNA, 3853 nt
Organism: Callithrix jacchus (white-tufted-ear marmoset)
Lineage: Eukaryota; Metazoa; Chordata; Mammalia; Primates; Cebidae
Source: RefSeq, a predicted model, not a curated record